RNAcentral lists this unclassified non-coding RNA (404 nucleotides) under plant metagenome. RNAcentral's name for it is "partial contains small subunit ribosomal RNA, internal transcribed spacer 1, and 5.8S ribosomal RNA". The record is from RNAcentral.
UUUCCGUAGGUGAACCUGCGGAAGGAUCAUUGUCACACAUCCUAAUGGAUGCUUGUGCCAACAAGCAGACCCAGCGAACCAUUCUCCUAUCGCUUGAGGGGCUGCAUCGCGAGGUGCAGCUGUCUGCGGUCGGGCCCUUGCUUCAGGGCCGGAGUCCUUGCUGGGUUCACCGUUGCAGGUGAGCACCGGCCGUCCGACGGGGGCCGCUCUUGGGCCUCGCACACGGGAGAGUGCGGGGGCGGCGUUUCCCACUCCAGCUGUCCCUUCCGGGGCAGCUGCGCAACCAACCAAAACACUAUGCAAAAACCGACUGAAGACCGAUCCUUUGCGGGCGCCUUCGGGAGCCCUGCCUCGGAUCAAAAACAAACUAAAGACAACUCUCAACAACGGAUAUCUUGGCUCUC